GAUGAACGCUGGCGGCGUGCCUAAUACAUGCAAGUCGAGCGAAUGGAUUAAGAGCUUGCUCUUAUGAAGUUAGCGGCGGACGGGUGAGUAACACGUGGGUAACCUGCCCAUAAGACUGGGAUAACUCCGGGAAACCGGGGCUAAUACCGGAUAACAUUUUGAACCGCAUGGUUCGAAAUUGAAAGGCGGCUUCGGCCGUCACUUAUGGAUGGACCCGCGUCGCAUUAGCUAGUUGGUGAGGUAACGGCUCACCAAGGCAACGAUGCGUAGCCGACCUGAGGGGGUGAUCGGCCACACUGGGACUGAGACACGGCCCAGACUCCUACGGGAGGCAGCAGUAGGGAAUCUUCCGCAAUGGACGAAAGUCUGACGGAGCAACGCCGCGUGAGUGAUGAAGGCUUUCGGGUCGUAAAACUCUGUUGUUAGGGAAGAACAAGUGCUAGUUGAAUAAGCAGGCACCUUGACGGUACCUAACCAGAAAGCCACGGCUAACUACGUGCCAGCAGCCGCGGUAA
Molecule: ribosomal RNA, 515 nt
Filed under: uncultured bacterium
Lineage: Bacteria
Description: partial 16S ribosomal RNA
Rfam family: Bacterial small subunit ribosomal RNA
Source: RNAcentral